Molecule: ribosomal RNA, 253 nt
Filed under: uncultured bacterium
Lineage: Bacteria
Description: partial 16S ribosomal RNA
Rfam family: Bacterial small subunit ribosomal RNA
Source: RNAcentral
UACGAAGGGGGCUAGCGUUGCUCGGAAUUACUGGGCGUAAAGGGCGCGUAGGCGGAUGUUUAAGUCAGCGGUGAGAGCCCAGGGCUCAACCUUGGAACUGCCAUUGAUACUGGACAUCUUGAGUACGGGAGAGGUGAGUGGAACACCGAGUGUAGAGGUGAAAUUCGUAGAUAUUCGGUAGAACACCAGUGGCGAAGGCGACUCACUGGCCCGUUACUGACGCUGAGGCGCGAAAGCGUGGGGAGCAAACAGG